RNAcentral lists this ribosomal RNA (322 nucleotides) under uncultured bacterium. Its description in RNAcentral is "bacterial SSU rRNA". It matches the Rfam family "Bacterial small subunit ribosomal RNA", at positions 168 to 507 of the family's 1533-position model. The record is from RNAcentral.
ACCGGAUUGUCCCCACGAGCCCGCAUGGGUUUGUGAGGAAAGGAUUACCGCUUCGGGAGGGGCUCGCGGCCUAUCAGCUUGUUGGUGGGGUAAUGGCCCACCAAGGCGACGACGGGUAGCUGGUCUGAGAGGACGAUCAGCCACACUGGGACUGAGACACGGCCCAGACUCCUACGGGAGGCAGCAGUAGGGAAUCUUGCGCAAUGGGCGAAAGCCUGACGCAGCAACGCCGCGUGGGGGAUGAAGGCCUUCGGGUUGUAAACUCCUUUCAGUGGGAACGAAACUGACGGUACCCACAGAAGAAGCCCCGGCCAACUACGUG